CGCGUAGGCGGUUUAUUAAGUUAGAUGUGAAAUCCCUGGGCUUAACCUAGGAACUGCAUCUAAAACUGGUAAGCUGGAGUGCAGUAGAGGGUAGUGGAAUUUCCGGUGUAGCGGUGAAAUGCGUAGAUAUCGGAAGGAACACCAGUGGCGAAGGCGGCUACCUGGACUGACACUGACGCUGAGGCGCGAGAGCGUGGGGAGCAAACA
Molecule: ribosomal RNA, 207 nt
Filed under: uncultured bacterium
Lineage: Bacteria
Description: partial 16S ribosomal RNA
Rfam family: Bacterial small subunit ribosomal RNA
Source: RNAcentral